GACGAACGCUGGCGGCGUGCUUAACACAUGCAAGUCGAACGGUAAGGCUCCAGCUUGCUGGGGUACACGAGUGGCGAACGGGUGAGUAACACGUGGGUGACCUGCCCUGCACUUCGGGAUAAGCCUGGGAAACUGGGUCUAAUACCGGAUAGGACCGCACCGUGAGGGUGUGGUGGAAAGUUUUUUCGGUGUGGGAUGAGCCCGCGGCCUAUCAACUUGUUGGUGGGGUAAUGGCCUACCAAGGCGGCGACGGGUAGCCGGCCUGAGAGGGUGGACGGCCACAUUGGGACUGAGACACGGCCCAGACUCCUACGGGAGGCAGCAGUGGGGAAUAUUGCACAAUGGGCGGAAGCCUGAUGCAGCGACGCCGCGUGGGGGAUGACGGCCUUCGGGUUGUAAACUCCUUUCACCAUCGACGAAGGGUUUCUGACGGUAGAUGGAGAAGAAGCACCGGCUAACUACGUGCCAGCAGCCGCGGUAAUACGUAGGGUGCGAGCGUUGUCCGGAAUUACUGGGCGUAAAGAGCUCGUAGGUGGUUUGUCGCGUCGUCUGUGAAAUUCCGGGGCUUAACUCCGGGCGUGCAGGCGAUACGGGCAUAACUUGAGUACUGUAGGGGAGACUGGAAUUCCUGGUGUAGCGGUGAAAUGCGCAGAUAUCAGGAGGAACACCGGUGGCGAAGGCGGGUCUCUGGGCAGUAACUGACGCUGAGGAGCGAAAGCAUGGGGAGCGAACAGGAUUAGAUACCCUGGUAGUCCAUGCCGUAAACGGUGGGCGCUAGGUGUGGGUUUCCUUCCACGGGAUCCGUGCCGUAGCUAACGCAUUAAGCGCCCCGCCUGGGGAGUACGGCCGCAAGGCUAAAGCUCAAAGGAAUUGACGGGGGCCCGCACAAGCGGCGGAGCAUGUGGAUUAAUUCGAUGCAACGCGAAGAACCUUACCUGGGCUUGACAUAUACAGGAUCGCGCCAGAGAUGGUGUUUCCCUUGUGGCUUGUAUACAGGUGGUGCAUGGUUGUCGUCAGCUCGUGUCGUGAGAUGUUGGGUUAAGUCCCGCAACGAGCGCAACCCUUGUCUUAUGUUGCCAGCACGUUGUGGUGGGGACUCGUAAGAAACUGCCGGGGUUAACUCGGAGGAAGGUGGGGAUGACGUCAAAUCAUCAUGCCCCUUAUGUCCAGGGCUUCACACAUGCUACAAUGGUCGGUACAGUGGGUUGCCAGUCCGUGAGGGCGAGCUAAUCCCGCAAAGCCGGUCUCAGUUCGGAUCGGGGUCUGCAACUCGACCCCGUGAAGUCGGAGUCGCUAGUAAUCGCAGAUCAGCAACGCUGCGGUGAAUACGUUCCCGGGCCU
Molecule: ribosomal RNA, 1341 nt
Filed under: uncultured bacterium
Lineage: Bacteria
Description: partial 16S ribosomal RNA
Rfam family: Bacterial small subunit ribosomal RNA
Source: RNAcentral